AAUCCAUAGGUUAAUGAGGCGAACCGGGGGAACUGAAACAUCUAAGUACCCCGAGGAAAAGAAAUCAACCGAGAUUCCCCCAGUAGCGGCGAGCGAACGGGGAGGAGCCCAGAGCCUGAAUCAGCAUGUGUGUUAGUGGAAGCGUCUGGAAAGGCGCGCGAUACAGGGUGACAGCCCCGUACACAAAAGCGCAUGUGCUGUGAGCUCGAUGAGUAGGGCGGGACACGUGGUAUCCUGUCUGAAUAUGGGGGGACCAUCCUCCAAGGCUAAAUACUCCUGACUGACCGAUAGUGAACCAGUACCGUGAGGGAAAGGCGAAAAGAACCCCGGCGAGGGGAGUGAAAAAGAACCUGAAACCGUGUACGUACAAGCAGUGGGAGCACCCUUUUGGGUGUGACUGCGUACCUUUUGUAUAAUGGGUCAGCGACUUAUAUUCUGUAGCAAGGUUAACCGUAUAGGGGAGCCGUAGGGAAACCGAGUCUUAAC
RNAcentral lists this ribosomal RNA (486 nucleotides) under Salmonella enterica subsp. enterica serovar Bareilly. RNAcentral's name for it is "partial 23S ribosomal RNA". It matches the Rfam family "Bacterial large subunit ribosomal RNA", at positions 161 to 688 of the family's 2925-position model. RNAcentral also lists the same sequence under 2 other names. The record is from RNAcentral. Lineage: Bacteria; Pseudomonadati; Pseudomonadota; Gammaproteobacteria; Enterobacterales; Enterobacteriaceae.